RNAcentral lists this ribosomal RNA (468 nucleotides) under uncultured bacterium. RNAcentral describes it as "partial 16S ribosomal RNA". It matches the Rfam family "Bacterial small subunit ribosomal RNA", at positions 28 to 507 of the family's 1533-position model. The record is from RNAcentral.
GACGAACGCUGGCGGCAUGCUUAACACAUGCAAGUCGAACGGAAAGGCCCUGCUUUUGUGGGGUGCUCGAGUGGCGAACGGGUGAGUAACACGUGAGUAACCUGCCCUUGACUUUGGGAUAACUUCAGGAAACUGGGGCUAAUACCGGAUAGGAGCUCCUGCUGCAUGGUGGGGGUUGGAAAGUUUCGGCGGUUGGGGAUGGACGCGCGGCUUAUCAGCUUGUUGGUGGGGUAGUGGCUUACCAAGGCUUUGACGGGUAGCCGGCCUGAGAGGGUGACCGGCCACAUUGGGACUGAGAUACGGCCCAGACUCCUACGGGAGGCAGCAGGGGGGAAUAUUGCACAAUGGGCGGAAGCCUGAUGCAGCAACGCCGCGUGCGGGAUGACGGCCUUCGGGGUGUAAACCGCUUUCGCCUGAGACGAAGCGUGAGUGACGGUAAUGGGUAAAGAAGCACCGGCUAACUACGUG